RNAcentral lists this small RNA (28 nucleotides) under Bombyx mori (domestic silkworm). RNAcentral's name for it is "ovarian small RNA-13822". Lineage: Eukaryota; Metazoa; Arthropoda; Insecta; Lepidoptera; Bombycidae. The record is from RNAcentral.
CCGAGAUUGGGUCCUCCGCGCUCACAUG